GAUGAACGCUGGCGGCGUGCCUAAUACAUGCAAGUCGAGCGAACGGACGAGAAGCUUGCUUUUCUGAUGUUAGCGGCGGACGGGUGAGUAACACGUGGAUAACCUACCUAUAAGUCUGGGAUAACUUCGGGAAACCGGAUCUAAUACCGGAUAAUAUUUUGAACCGCAUGGUUCAAAAGAGAAAGACGGCCUUGCUGUCACUUAUAGAUGGAUCCGCGCUGCAUUAGCUAGUUGGUAAGGUAACGGCUUACCAAGGCUACGAUGCAUAGCCGACCUGAGAGGGUGAUCGGCCACACUGGAACUGAGACACGGUCCAGACUCCUACGGGAGGCAGCAGUAGGGAAUCUUCCGCAAUGGGCGAAAGCCUGACGGAGCAACGCCGCGUGAGUGAUGAAGGCCUUCGGAUCGUAAAACUCUGUUAUUAGGGAAGAACAUAUGUGUAAGUAACUGUGGACAUCUUGACGGUACCUAAUCAGAAAGCCACGGCUAACUACGUG
This 497-nucleotide ribosomal RNA is filed under the name uncultured bacterium. RNAcentral describes it as "partial 16S ribosomal RNA". It matches the Rfam family "Bacterial small subunit ribosomal RNA", at positions 28 to 507 of the family's 1533-position model. The record is from RNAcentral.